CAUGUAGGCGGCCCCUUAAGUCGAUCGUGAAAUCCCUUGGCUUAACCAAGGAACUGCAGUCGAUACUGGGGGGCUUGAGUACAGAAGAGGAAAGUGGAAUUCCCGGUGUAAGAGUGAAAUCUGUAGAUAUCGGGAGGAACACCAGUGGCGAAGGCGACUUUCUGGUCUGUUACUGACGCUGAAAUGCGAAAGCUAGGGGAGCAAACAGGAUUAGAUACCCUGGUAGUCC
Molecule: ribosomal RNA, 229 nt
Filed under: uncultured bacterium
Lineage: Bacteria
Description: partial 16S ribosomal RNA
Rfam family: Bacterial small subunit ribosomal RNA
Source: RNAcentral